RNAcentral lists this unclassified non-coding RNA (384 nucleotides) under uncultured bacterium. RNAcentral describes it as "contains 16S-23S intergenic spacer region". The record is from RNAcentral.
UCCUGGUUUCCCAGGCAGUCCCAUCAGAGUGCCUCCUCACGGAGUAGCAACUGAUAGCAGGAGUUGCGCUCGUUAAAGGACUUAACCCAACAUCUCACGACACGAGCUGACGACAGCCAUGCAGCACCUGUGCAACUGUCCAAGGUUACCCCUGAAAGACUCUAUCUCUAGAGCUGUCAAUUGCAUGUCAAGCCUAGGUAAGGUUCCUCGCGUAGUGUCGAAUUAAACCACAUGUUCCACCGCUUGUGCGGACCCCCGUCAAUUUCUUUGAGUUUUAAUCUUGCGACCGUACUCCCCAGGCGGAUCACUUAUCGCGUUAGCUACGACACUAAUUCUGCAGAGCAGAACUAACGUCUAGUGAUCAUCGUUUACAGCGUGGACUAC